GAUCAAACAAAUAACUAAAUACGAUGGGUGUUAAAAAUUUCAUGUUAUGGGCAUUCCUGUGCACCACCACGGUAAACGCUGUCAGAUUUGACAUCACUAAUAGAGAGGGUGGUCCUGUAUGGGUUGGUAUUCAAGGAAACCCUGGUCAUGAACAUUUACGCAAUGGGGGAUUCGUCUUAAAUCAAGGACAAACGACUUCCGUAAAUGCUCCUGACAACUGGGCAGGGCGAUUUUGGCCUAGGACAUGGUGUGACCCUAAUUCAAAGCAUUGCAUGACCGGUGACUGUGGAAAUAGAGUAGAAUGUGCAGGAGCAGGAGGUGUACCUCCUGCUACCCUAUUGGAAAUUAAAUUGAAAGGAGACGCUGGGCUAGAUUACUACGAUAUCUCACUUGUUGAUGGUUUUAACAUCAGAGCCUUCAUUGAACCGGUAGGUGGACGUGGAGAUGGUGGCCGAUAUAACUGCAAGAGAGCUGGUUGCUUAGCGGAUGUUAACAGCCAAUGUCCCAACGAUUUACGAAUAAAUCACCAAGGACAAACAAUUGCCUGUCAGUCAGCCUGUAACAGAUUUAACAACGACCACUACUGUUGCAGAGGUCAGUACAACUCACCUAGUGCAUGCGAUAGCAGAAGAUGGCCCGUCAACUAUCCAGGUUAUUCCAAAGGAAAAUGUCCCGCUGCCUACAGCUACGCGCAGCGCCGGUUUAUACAUAAAGCGGGACAAGCGGCCGCUUGGGGGCCCGGGUCCCGAAGGGGCCCGUAUUUUGGUCAUAAAGAAAAUAUAAAUAUGAAAAUGAAGCAGAAGUCAAUAAAUAAAUGGCCUCUUAAAAAAGAAAUUAAAGUUUACUUGUGGCAAUUAAAUCAUGCCUCCUAGAAUUAAAAUAUUACUGGCGUUCGUCUAUUUCUUGGUAGUCCGUGAAUUGUAGAACGAAUUGGCCAUUUUAAGAGAAGCAGGAGUACUUCCAAAAAUGGAAUCCAGAGCCGAAACAGAUAGUUGCGAUGAUGAAUUUAGUACUUAAGGAGAAGAUCAAAUAUCUGAAGUAGCUCUAAAUUCCAAAAUUUGGCUCGAACAUCAUUCCGAACCGUUUGAGGACGUUCUCAAGCAUUGGAUCGAAACCAAUAGUUUCAAACGUACUCAGUCGGCCACUUCGGCCUUUCAGACUGUGUCCAGUAUUUUAAACGAAUGACUUAUUUUGAAGUAUCAUUUUGGAUAUAUCCUAAUUGAAAAAGAUUUUGAGAUAGAAUAUCCGAAUAUCCACAAAAAGAAAAUAAUCUUUUUACGAAAUUCUGUGCUCUGUUUGACGCAGCAUUGGAGCUGAAGAAAAAGACUUGUGUCAACACGGACAAUGAGUUUUUAGUUGACCUGUUACAAGGCGAAUUAUCACAAGAUUCACGAACCCUUAUUCAGACUUAUCUAUUAUGUUCGUUCAUAUGUAAUAAGUCAAUGAAGUUAAAAAAGUGGGAAACCCAGUGUUGCUGAAUCAAGAGAAUCGAUUAUACUUCAAGUCAAGUGCCCUACAGCCAGCAUAUUGAACAAAUUUUUACAAUAAUUAAAUCUUAAUUCUGCGUAUAAAAAAUAUUGUUUUUACGCAAAUAAAAAAUAAUUUUAGUUACAAAACUAGUAUGCUUCUCGUAAUUAAAGUUUACUGUUACAGAUAAAAUAUAUAUGUUUUAAAAAUCUUAUUAAAAUUAGGAAUAAUAUAUACCUUUCUAUUCUAAAUUAUAAUUUACUUACCACAAAUUAAAUCAAGAUAUUCUUGUUGACAAUCAUUAAUUAUAGAUAUUAUAAU
This is an RNA transcript of Sitophilus oryzae (rice weevil), 1788 nucleotides long. It is a transcript of the gene named pathogenesis-related protein 5-like, with no coding region annotated. NCBI's taxonomy places the organism in Eukaryota, Metazoa, Arthropoda, Insecta, Coleoptera, Curculionidae. The transcript has 9 exons. The record is from RefSeq and is a predicted model, not a curated record.